UCAUUAUCACUAUCAUGGUGUAUUGUUGCCAUUGAGGAAUCUUCCCAUGUAGCAAAUUUACCUAGAAAAUACAAAACUUUGGCAUAUCACCAUCAGGUGCAGACGUACUCUUUCUCCCAAAUACUACAGCAGUAUCCCUACAAUCAGAUGUACAAAAAUUUGCUUGCUAAAAAACUAAUCAAUAAACCAUGAAAUUUAAAUGGAUUAAUUAAGGAUCAAGCCACUCACCUUGUGGCUACAAUCGACCAGAUUCAUCUCUCCACGUUUCUGCAUGUGAAGAAUUGAUCAGUGCCCCAAGUCAAAACUACUGCAUACCUUAUACAUGAAGCCCUUACUCAAAAUUCAGAAUAUAUGCAGAAUAUCCAUUUUAAUUGACAUAGCUAUCUGCAGUCCUAGACAAAAUGUGACCAUAAUCCACACUACUACACAUGAAUUACUAUAUAGCUACCUUAUGGGGGCCUAUAUGCCUGAUCC
RNAcentral lists this long non-coding RNA (474 nucleotides) under Triticum aestivum (bread wheat). RNAcentral describes it as "long non-coding RNA (TAES_LNC008374)". The record is from RNAcentral. Lineage: Eukaryota; Viridiplantae; Streptophyta; Magnoliopsida; Poales; Poaceae.